AUUGAACGCUGGCGGAAUGCUUUACACAUGCAAGUCGAACGGCAGCACGGACUUCGGUCUGGUGGCGAGUGGCGAACGGGUGAGUAAUGUAUCGGAACGUGCCCAGUCGUGGGGGAUAAUGUAGUGAAAAUUACGCUAAUACCGCAUACGAUCUAUGGAUGAAAGCGGGGGAUCGCAAGACCUCGCGCGAUUGGAGCGGCCGAUAACAGAUUAGGUAGUUGGUGGGGCAAAGGCCCACCAAGCCAACGAUCUGUAGCUGGUCUGAGAGGACGACCAGCCACACUGGAACUGAGACACGGUCCAGACUCCUACGGGAGGCAGCAGUGGGGAAUUUUGGACAAUGGGCGAAAGCCUGAUCCAGCCAUUCCGCGUGCAGGAUGAAGGCCCUCGGGUUGUAAACUGCUUUUGUACAGAACGAAAAGGUUUCUACUAAUACUAGGAGCUCAUGACGGUACUGUAAGAAUAAGCACCGGCUAACUACGUGCCAGCAGCCGCCGCGG
This 500-nucleotide ribosomal RNA is filed under the name uncultured bacterium. RNAcentral's name for it is "partial 16S ribosomal RNA". It matches the Rfam family "Bacterial small subunit ribosomal RNA", at positions 30 to 523 of the family's 1533-position model. The record is from RNAcentral.